UUGGUUAUGACCGAGCACGGCGUGGUCUGGCUUCCUGUGCCGGCGGUCGUCCCUAUGGCUAUUAUCGGGAGGGUCGCCUCCGUCGGGCCGGGC
This 93-nucleotide transfer RNA is filed under the name Synergistales bacterium. RNAcentral describes it as "tRNA-Arg". Lineage: Bacteria; Thermotogati; Synergistota; Synergistia; Synergistales. The record is from RNAcentral.